AAAUUCGAUCUAACAUCGACAUCUUCGUCGUAGACAACAUCAAAACCAUCCGACGGCACGGGCAUCACCAAGAACGACCAAGACCCUCUGAAAUUACCAUCAACCACCAUAAUAAGCAAUUUACAGCGGCGGCGACGGCGGCAAUCAAGCCCAAAUCGGUCUCGAUAGCAGGUUACGACAUAAUCAAGCAAUCCGUGGGAAAGGCCGUCUCCUCUACACACAACAGUUCGGCGGAACGCGGCGCCGCCAUAUUUAAACAGUGUGUAGUUAAAGUGAGCAAUGUAAUUUUAUAAUUUUCCCCUUAUUUUCGUCACAAAUUACCAGGCAGCGAGUUUUAACGGUCUACAUUUUAGUUCAAUGGUGGCGCUGUCCGGGUUAACAAUGCCUGGACUCCGGUCUGACAGUGAGAAAAUCCGGGGUUUUCCCGUACGGGAAAUCCGGGACGUCUGUGGGUUCGUCCGGCUGGUGCGAACGUGUGUGGAGUGUGUGUGAGAGGCGCUAAGGCUGCCCAUGGAUCGACAGGGUCAAGAGGGGUGGUGGAGAGGAGGUAAAGGAGUCCGGUUGUUUUUCGAGACGUCAGGAUUCUGUUUUGAUCAAUUGGGGUGAUUUCUGAUGAAUUCAGGAAGUCUGCAUGAACGAGAUGAUCAAGGAAUCUUAAAAGAUAACUCCAUAUUAUUUCCUUGCAGAAGAUGAAGGUGAUCCACAUCUGAAGAUGACGAGUUGGUAUGGAGUAUCAGCAAAAUGAAGAAUUUGGUAGAAUUUUCACGUAGCAGUUCAUUCAUAUAUAUUUAAUUUUAUUAUGAUUUAGUUUAAAUUGAUA
Long non-coding RNA from Harmonia axyridis, 820 nucleotides. RefSeq lists it as uncharacterized. The transcript has 3 exons. The record is from RefSeq and is a predicted model, not a curated record. Lineage: Eukaryota; Metazoa; Arthropoda; Insecta; Coleoptera; Coccinellidae.